This 307-nucleotide ribosomal RNA is filed under the name uncultured bacterium. Its description in RNAcentral is "bacterial SSU rRNA". It matches the Rfam family "Bacterial small subunit ribosomal RNA", at positions 28 to 334 of the family's 1533-position model. The record is from RNAcentral.
GAUGAACGCUGGCGGCGUGCAUAACACAUUCAAGUCGAACGGACAAAGGGACUUCGGUCCCUGCGUUAGUGGCGGACGGGUGAGUAACGCGUGAGCAACCUGCCCCUGCGUGUGGAAUAACGUUUGGAAACGAACGCUAAUACCGCAUGAUGCAUAGGAUUCGCAUGUUUUCUAUGCCAAAGAUUUAUUGCACAGGGAUGGGCUCGCGUCCGAUUAGAUAGUUGGUGAGGUAACGGCCCACCAAGUCGACGAUCGGUAGCCGGACUGAGAGGUUGAACGGCCACAUUGGAACUGAGAAACGGUCCAG